CCUACGGGUGGCUGCAGUGGGGAAUAUUGGACAAUGGGCGAAAGCCUGAUCCAGCCAUGCCGCGUGUGUGAAGAAGGCCUUCGGGUUGUAAAGCACUUUCAGUGGGGAAGAAAGCCUUGGGGCUAAUACCCUCGAGGAAGGACAUCACCCACAGAAGAAGCACCGGCUAACUCCGUGCCAGCAGCCGCGGUAAUACGGAGGGUGCGAGCGUUAAUCGGAAUUACUGGGCGUAAAGCGCGCGUAGGCGGUCUGAUAAGCCGGUUGUGAAAGCCCCGGGCUCAACCUGGGAACGGCAUCCGGAACUGUCAGGCUAGGGGGCAGGAGAGGAAGGUAGAAUUCCCGGUGUAGCGGUGAAAUGCGUAGAGAUCGGGAGGAAUACCAGUGGCGAAGGCGGCCUUCUGGACUGACACUGACGCUGAGGUGCGAAAGCGUGGGUAGCAAACAGGAUUAGAUACCCCGGUAGUC
This 465-nucleotide ribosomal RNA is filed under the name Vreelandella stevensii. RNAcentral describes it as "partial 16S ribosomal RNA". It matches the Rfam family "Bacterial small subunit ribosomal RNA", at positions 338 to 795 of the family's 1533-position model. Lineage: Bacteria; Pseudomonadati; Pseudomonadota; Gammaproteobacteria; Oceanospirillales; Halomonadaceae. The record is from RNAcentral.